AGAAUUUGGCGGUUAUUUAAUCUUUCUAGAGGAACCUGUCCUGUAAUUGAUAAUCCACGAUUGAUUUUACUUUAAUUAUAUUUAUAUAUCGCUGUCAUUGAAUGUUUUAAAAGAUUAUUUUCUUAAAUUUUUAUGAAGUUAAUGUUAGGUCAAGAUGUAGUUAUAUUAAAGAAGAGAUGGGUUACAUUUAUUUUAUUAAUGGUGAAGAAUUUGAAAUUGUUUUCUUUAAAAUUGGAUUUAGGUGUAAUUUUUAUAAAAUAAUAAUUUUGAUUUUAGUUCUAAAUNNAUUAAUAUCUGGUUUAUUAAUAUAUGAAUUUAAUUCAUUCUUAAUAAUGCUUUAUUUUAAUUUUAUUAAUUAUAGUAUUUUAAGAAAAGAAAUAUAGGGAUAAGCUUAUAUUUUUUGUUAAAAAUGUUUUUUAACAAUUUUUUGUAGGAUUAAUAAUUUUCAUCUUUAUUUUGUUAUAAUUAUUUUUUGUUGAUUUUGAUUUUUGUUUUUUUAAUUUUUUAUUAAUAUUUUUUUAUUAAUUUUAUUUAUUAAAUAAUUAUGAUAUAAUUAGUAAUUUUUAUAAUUUAAAUAUAGUAAUUCGGCAAAUUUUAUUUUCACCUGUUUAACAAAAACAUGUUCUUUUGUUUUUAAUUUAAGAUCGGGCCUGCCCAUUGAUUUUUUGGAAUUAAAAGGCUGCGGUAUUUUAACUGUACGAAGGUAGCAUAAUCAUUUGUCUUUUAAUUGGAGGCUAGAAUGAAUGGUUUGAUGAAAAAUAUACUUUCUUUAUUUAAUUAUUUUGAAUUUAAUUUUUUAGUUAAAAAGCUAAAAUUUUUUUAUAGGACGAGAAGACCCUAUAGAAGUUAACUUUAUUUAUAAAUUUAUAUUUUUUGUUUUUUAAAUUUAUUUUUAGAAUGUGAAGUUUUGUUGGGGUGAUAUUAAAAUUUAUUUAACUUUUAAUUUUUAUUUCAUUAAUUUAUGUUAUUUUUGAUCCGGAAUUUUUGAUUAUAAGAAUAACUUACCUUAGGGAUAACAGCGUAAUUUUUUCGGAGAGUCCCUAUCGAUGAAUAAGUUUGCGACCUCGAUGUUGAAUUAAGAUUAGAUUUGGGGGUAAAAUUUCAUUUUUCUUGGUCUGUUCGACCAUUAAAUUCUUACAUGAUUUGAGUUCAGACCGGCGUGAGCCAGGUCGGUUUCUAUCCUUAUUUUAUAUAAAUUAGUACGAAAGGACCAUUUAUAUUAAUUAAAUUAUAAUUUUUGAUUAAAAUUA
This 1250-nucleotide ribosomal RNA is filed under the name Gigantometra gigas. RNAcentral describes it as "16S ribosomal RNA". The stretch from base 825 to 1182 matches the Rfam family "Archaeal large subunit ribosomal RNA", at positions 2158 to 2714 of the family's 2987-position model. The record is from RNAcentral. Lineage: Eukaryota; Metazoa; Arthropoda; Insecta; Hemiptera; Gerridae.